GUCUGACUCCAGGUCUGAUUACAUUGUAAAUAAUGCUCUCCCUCCCAGUCUGACUCCAGGUCUGAUUACAUUGUAAAUAAUGCUCUCCCUCCCAGUCUGACUCCAGGUCUGAUUACAUUGUAAAUAAUGCUCUCCCUCCCAGUCUGACUCCAGGUCUGAUUACAUUGUAAAUAAUGCUCUCCCUCCCAGGUUGACUCCAGGUCUGAUUACAUUGUAAAUAAUGCUCUCCCUCCCAGGUUGACUCCAGGUCUGAUUACAUUGUAAAUAAUGCUCUCCCUCCCAGUCUGACUCCAGGUCUGAUUACAUUAA
Molecule: long non-coding RNA, 309 nt
Organism: Oncorhynchus tshawytscha (Chinook salmon)
Lineage: Eukaryota; Metazoa; Chordata; Actinopteri; Salmoniformes; Salmonidae
Source: Ensembl